RNAcentral lists this long non-coding RNA (202 nucleotides) under Selaginella moellendorffii. RNAcentral's name for it is "long non-coding RNA (SMOE_LNC002366)". Lineage: Eukaryota; Viridiplantae; Streptophyta; Lycopodiopsida; Selaginellales; Selaginellaceae. The record is from RNAcentral.
UCGAUGGCAACGUGAAUCCCCUUGUUGUCCGAGACGUCGUCCCUGUCGUGCGCUCCAUCAGAGCCUCUUCGCCUUUCACUCCCAAUCCUCGUCGCAUUUCCGAGCAGAGCACGUCGAUCUACCGAAUGCACCUGCACAGGCGGAUGCCGGCGGAUUUGUUCCCCGCGUAAGUCUGGAAGGCGUCGAGCCUGUUCUCGCUGAU